GGGUCUGAGUGCAGUGGUGUUUACAGCUUACUGAACACAACCAGUUACCGAUAUCUUUGUUCCUUCUCCACUGCCACUGUUUCACCUGACUAGCCUUGA
Molecule: Y RNA, 99 nt
Filed under: Cebus imitator (Panamanian white-faced capuchin)
Lineage: Eukaryota; Metazoa; Chordata; Mammalia; Primates; Cebidae
Description: Y RNA (ENSCCAG00000008749.1)
Rfam family: Y RNA
About the family: Y RNAs are components of the Ro ribonucleoprotein particle (Ro RNP), in association with Ro60 and La proteins. The Y RNAs and Ro60 and La proteins are well conserved, but the function of the Ro RNP is not known. In humans the RNA component can be one of four small RNAs -- hY1, hY3, hY4 and hY5.
Source: Rfam by way of RNAcentral